RNAcentral lists this long non-coding RNA (429 nucleotides) under Setaria viridis. RNAcentral's name for it is "long non-coding RNA (SVIR_LNC009914)". Lineage: Eukaryota; Viridiplantae; Streptophyta; Magnoliopsida; Poales; Poaceae. The record is from RNAcentral.
GCGUAGUUAAGAUGACAAAAGCAACAUGCUUUAGUAGAUAUUUGUUGGAAACAAACGGAACAGGUUGAGUAGUCCAACCUUGGGUAGACCAUAGCACUCACCAUAGCACCUCAGAAUUUUUUUAUCACAAAAAAAGGGAAAAGGAAGUUCCAUUUGUGCAAGGGUCCUAAUAUAAAAUUUACUCUAUUUUGAAAAUACAUGUAGAAGCACUAACAUUUACGUCAAGAAGGAUGUGAAUAUUGCAUAUGAUUUUGCAUUGCUAUCCAUCACAACACAUACAUGACAAAGUGUCAUUUCAAAGUCGUCGAUCCAUCUUGAUUUGACGAGAGAACAAAAAAACGUGUAGCUCGAAAUCUACCUACCUCUGCUGGCACAACUGUGGUAGCACAUGCUUGGAUUCCUGAUACAUGUGUUCAAAUCUCUUUAAUA